Molecule: long non-coding RNA, 1267 nt
Organism: Lycium barbarum (goji berry)
Lineage: Eukaryota; Viridiplantae; Streptophyta; Magnoliopsida; Solanales; Solanaceae
Exons: 3
Source: RefSeq, a predicted model, not a curated record
UAAUAUGAAAUGUUCAACUCAUGCCACAUAAGACGGGUACGUGUGGGGGCUUGGGAGCCUCACAUAUUAGUUAUCAAAUGAUUCACUAAGUAUCAUUCAUGAUAGAUGAACAAGAACAAAAAAAAAAAACGUUGAAGACAAAAAAAAAGAAGCUCGGCCAUGGAGCAAUGUUAACCGAGAGGGAGAUUGGAGAAAAAGAAAAAUUUGAGGUGUGAAAUUGUUGUAACAUUCAAGUGAUUAGCAAGGUUAAGAAGCCAAGUUGAUUAAGGCUAAAAGAGCGAUGAGACGAACGGGUUACGAAUAGCCGCUAACAGGUAUUUGAAAGUUGCCUAAUAUGAUUAUUACUUGAAUUUCCAAAAGAAAAUGGCUUCUGAAUCGCUUUUAGAAGGUUUUGUACUUCAAAAGCUCAUAACUUUCGUAUACUAAAUCGGAUUGACCCGAAACUUGUUUCUGAGCCUUCAGAUGUCGGUAAAUAUAUUUGUCCAUUGAGUCUUGGAAUUUAUUUAUUUAUAUGCAUAUAGUUUCUCACUACUCUACUCGUGGAUGCCUCAAUGCUUCCUUCACUGAGCCCGGGCCAGGAUAUGUUAUCACGCGUAUUCCACUGCAUUGUUCGCCGUGCCUCGAUGUGAGAGGGCAGGUACACAUGUACAUGGGUUGUGGAGUAUGCUGUGCCAUGUACAUAUAUUCUGAUAUGUGAUGAUGUGAUAUGAUAUGGCCAUCUGAUAUGUUAUGACAUGUGCACAUUCUGAUAUGAUAUGAUAUGUUACGGAGCUAUUCCCUACUCUGGAGUAUGUUGUGUUGUGGCGCCAGUGACGGGGUGGCGACCACGUUCUGUUCACCGAGUCCUAAAACGGGGCCGGAUAUGGCAUAUGAUUGACAUGCAUUAUCUAUGUUUUGUGAGUACAGACGUUCGUUCAGGUAACCCGCCAGUGUAGGGUACUUAUUCUGCUGUUUGGAGUACUCCUUUUGAUCCGGAGCUCAUAGUUUUGGUACCUAUCUUUUGUGAUACAUGUUUCUGUAUAUCUGAUUAUUUGGGGUACGGCGGGGCCCUGUCCCGCCAUAUAAUUCUGUCAUGGUUUGUAGAGGCCUGUAGACAUAUAUGUGGGUCAUGGGUUAUGUUUGUUCGAAUAUGUUUGUGAUUUGUGCCUUAAGCGGUCCCGUUUGCUAUUAUGGCCAAGACGGCCCACCUGUUUGUAUAUGUAUGUAUAUCUGGGCGAUGUGUAUUCCGCCAGCCUACCGGAUUUGAUUUGAUGUUUCUGUACGGGCA